AUUGAACGCUGGCGGCAUGCCUUACACAUGCAAGUCGAACGGCAGCACGGGAGCAAUCCUGGUGGCGAGUGGCGAACGGGUGAGUAAUAUAUCGGAACGUGCCCAGUAGUGGGGGAUAACUGCUCGAAAGAGCAGCUAAUACCGCAUACGACCUGAGGGUGAAAGGGGGGGAUCGCAAGACCUCUCGCUAUUGGAGCGGCCGAUAUCAGAUUAGCUAGUUGGUGAGGUAAAGGCUCACCAAGGCGACGAUCCGUAGCUGGUCUGAGAGGACGACCAGCCACACUGGAACUGAGACACGGUCCAGACUCCUACGGGAGGCAGCAGUGGGGAAUUUUGGACAAUGGGGGGCAACCCUGAUCCAGCCAUUCCGCGUGAGUGAAGAAGGCCUUCGGGUUG
This 396-nucleotide ribosomal RNA is filed under the name uncultured bacterium. Its description in RNAcentral is "bacterial SSU rRNA". It matches the Rfam family "Bacterial small subunit ribosomal RNA", at positions 30 to 425 of the family's 1533-position model. The record is from RNAcentral.